Long non-coding RNA from Pteronotus mesoamericanus, 230 nucleotides. RefSeq lists it as uncharacterized. NCBI's taxonomy places the organism in Eukaryota, Metazoa, Chordata, Mammalia, Chiroptera, Mormoopidae. The transcript is spliced from 2 exons. The record is from RefSeq and is a predicted model, not a curated record.
UGGAAAACUGGAAAAGCGCCCCACGCCGAACCCUAGGUAUCGCGAGACUCGACAGGCCCGCCUCUGCGUAGCCUGCCGGAAGCGGAAGUCAGGGGGUUGUCGGAUUCUGACAGUAGUGGCCCCGUUACCUUGGAGAGGUGGGGUGGCGUGGCGUGGCGUUGGAGCGGCGCGUUGGGAGCCAGAGAUCUAGACAACUUAACCCUGAAGCAGUACAGCUUCAAAUCCCCGCG